GUGACUGCGUACCUUUUGUAUAAUGGGUCAGCGACUUAUAUUCUGUAGCAAGGUUAACCGUCUAGGGGAGCCGCAGGGAAACCGAGUCUUAACGGGGCGUUAAGUUGCAGGGUAUAGACCCGAAACCCGGUGAUCUAGCCAUGGGCAGGUUGAAGGUUGGGUAACACUAACUGGAGGACCGAACCGACUAAUGUUGAAAAAUUAGCGGAUGACUUGUGGCUGGGGGUGAAAGGCCAAUCAAACCGGGAGAUAGCUGGUUCUCCCCGAAAGCUAUUUAGGUAGCGCCUCGUGAAGUCAUCUUCGGGGGUAGAGCACUGUUUCGGCUAGGGGGUCAUCCCGACUUACCAACCCGAUGCAAACUGCGAAUACCGAAGAAUGUUAUCACGGGAGACACACGGCGGGUGCUAACGUCCGUCGUGAAGAGGGAAACAACCCAGACCGCCAGCUAAGGUCCCGAAGUCAUGGUUAAGUGGGAAACGAAGUGGGAAGGCUCAGACAGCCAGGAUGUUGGCUUAGAAGCAGCCAUCAUUUAAAGAAAGCGUAAUAGCUCACUGGUCGAGUCGGCCUGCGCGGAAGAUGUAACGGGGCUAAACCAUGCACCGAAGCUGCGGCAGCGACAUGAAAGUGUUGCUGGGUAGGGGAGCGUUCUGUAAGCCGCAGAAGGUGGCCUGUGAGGGCUGCUGGAGGUAUCAGAAGUGCGAAUGCUGACAUAAGUAACGAUAAAGCGGGUGAAAAACCCGCUCGCCGGAAGACCAAGGGUUCCUGUCCAACGUUAAUCGGGGCAGGGUGAGUCGACCCCUAAGGCGAGGCCGACAGGCGUAGUCGAUGGGCAACAGGUUAAUAUUCCUGUACCCGGUGUGACUGCGAAGGGGGGACGGAGAAGGCUAGGCCAGCCGGGCGACGGUCGUCCCGGUUGAAGCGUGUAGGUGGGUGGUUUUGGAAAAUCCGGACCGCUGAUAACACUGAGGCGUGAUAACGAGGCACUACGGUGCUGAAGUGGUUGAUGCCCUGCUUCCAGGAAAAGCCUCUAAGCAUCAGGUCACAUUGGAUCGUACCCCAAACCGACACAGGUGGUCAGGUAGAGAAUACUCAGGCGCUUGAGAGAACUCGGGUGAAGGAACUAGGCAAAAUGGUGCCGUAACUUCGGGAGAAGGCACGCUGGCGCCAGGUGAAGGAACGAGCUUCCGGAGCCGAGGCCAGUCGCAGAUACCAGCUGGCUGCAACUGUUUAAUAAAAACACAGCACUGUGCAAACACGCAAGUGGACGUAUACGGUGUGACGCCUGCCCGGUGCUGGAAGGUUAAUUGAUGGGGUUAUCGCGUUGCGAGAAGCUCUUGAUCGAAGCCCCAGUAAACGGCGGCCGUAACUAUAACCGGUCCUAAAGGGUAGCGAAAUUCCCUUGUCGGGUAAGUUCCGACCUGCACGAAUGGCGUAAUGAUGGCCAGGCUGUCUCCACCCGAGACUCAGUGAAAUUGAACUCGCUGUGAAGAUGCAGUGUACCCGCGGCAAGACGGAAAGACCCCGUGAACCUUUACUAUAGCUUGACACUGAACCUUGAGCCUUGAUGUGUAGGAUAGGUGGGAGGCCUGGAAGUGCGGACGCCAGUCUGCACGGAGCCAACCUUGAAAUACCACCCUUGAAUGUUUGAUGUUCUAACGCAGGCCCGUGAUCCGGGUUGCGGACAGUGUCUGGUGGGUAGUUUGACUGGGGCGGUCUCCUCCCAAAGCGUAACGGAGGAGCACGAAGGUUAGCUAAUCACGGUCGGACAUCGUGAGGUUAGUGCAAUGGCAUAAGCUGGCUUGACUGCGAGAGUGACAGCUCGAGCAGGUGCGAAAGCAGGUCAUAGUGAUCCGGUGGUUCUGAAUGGAAGGGCCAUCGCUCAACGGAUAAAAGGUACUCCGGGGAUAACAGGCUGAUACCGCCCAAGAGUUCAUAUCGACGGCGGUGUUUGGCACCUCGAUGUCGGCUCAUCACAUCCUGGGGCUGAAGCAGGUCCCAAGGGUACGGCUGUU
This 2012-nucleotide ribosomal RNA is filed under the name Xenorhabdus nematophila ATCC 19061. RNAcentral's name for it is "LSU rRNA". It matches the Rfam family "Bacterial large subunit ribosomal RNA", at positions 593 to 2581 of the family's 2925-position model. Lineage: Bacteria; Pseudomonadati; Pseudomonadota; Gammaproteobacteria; Enterobacterales; Morganellaceae. The record is from RNAcentral.